This 494-nucleotide ribosomal RNA is filed under the name uncultured bacterium. Its description in RNAcentral is "partial 16S ribosomal RNA". It matches the Rfam family "Bacterial small subunit ribosomal RNA", at positions 28 to 507 of the family's 1533-position model. The record is from RNAcentral.
GACGAACGCUGGCGGCGCGCUUAACACAUGCCAGUCGAACGGAAAGGCCUGCUUUCCCUUGUGGAUUGCGGGUACUCGAGUGGCGAACGGGUGAGUAACACGUGAGUGAUCUGCCCCCAACUUGGGUAUAAGCCUGGGAAACUGGGUCUAAUUCCCGAUAGGACUGCAGGGUGGUGCCUGUGGUGGAAAACGAUUUUCUAGUGGUUGGGGAUGAGCUCGCGGCCUAUCAGCUUGUUGGUGGGGUAAUGGCCUACCAAGGCGGCGACGGGUAGCCGGCCUGGGAGUGUGGACGGCCACAUUGGGACUGAGACACGGCCCAGACUCCUACGGGAGGCAGCAGUGGGGAAUAUUGCACGAUGGGCGGAAGCCUGAUGCAGCGACGCCGCGUGGGGGAUGACGGCCUUCGGGUUGUAAACUCCUUUCGACCGCGAGGAAGCCACCUGGUUGGAAGGGUGGUGACGGUAGUGGUAGAAGAAGCACCGGCUAACUACGUG